GAUGGCGACCGGCGCACGGGUGAGUAACACGUAUCCAACCUGCCGAUGACUCGGGGAUAGCCUUUCGAAAGAAAGAUUAAUACCCGAUGGCAUAGUUCUUCCGCAUGGUGGAACUAUUAAAGAAUUUCGGUCAUCGAUGGGGAUGCGUUCCAUUAGGUUGUUGGCGGGGUAACGGGCCCACCAAGCCUUCGAUGGAUAGGGGUUCUGAGAGGAAGGUCCCCCACAUUGGAACUGAGACACGGUCCAAACUCCUACGGGAGGCAGCAUG
Molecule: ribosomal RNA, 268 nt
Filed under: uncultured bacterium
Lineage: Bacteria
Description: partial 16S ribosomal RNA
Rfam family: Bacterial small subunit ribosomal RNA
Source: RNAcentral